AAGACUAUACUUUCAGGGAUCAUUUCUAUAGUUUGCUACUAGAGAAGUUUCUCUGAACGUGUAGGGUACCAGAAACCACGAGGACGAGGUGCAGCGUUCCUUCCUGAGCGUGAAACUGGCUUUGGGCGUCACUUUGGUGUCUGCCUUUUGUCCUUGAUGAUCGUUCUUUUUUCUCCUUUGGAGGAACAAGAAGGAAGGGAUGCCAUCUGAGUGGC
Molecule: small nucleolar RNA, 215 nt
Filed under: Canis lupus familiaris (dog)
Lineage: Eukaryota; Metazoa; Chordata; Mammalia; Carnivora; Canidae
Also listed under: 1 other name
Description: Small nucleolar RNA U3 (multiple genes)
Rfam family: Small nucleolar RNA U3
About the family: Small nucleolar RNAs (snoRNAs) are involved in the processing and modification of rRNA in the nucleolus. There are two main classes of snoRNAs: the box C/D class, and the box H/ACA class.
Source: Rfam by way of RNAcentral